UACGUAGGGGGCGAGCGUUGUCCGGAUUUAUUGGGCGUAAAGAGCGUGUAGGCGGUUCGGUAAGUCUGUCGUGAAAUCCUGAGGCUCAACCUUGGACGUGCGAUGGAUACUGCCGGGCUAGAGGAUGGUAGAGGCGAGUGGAAUUCCCGGUGUAGCGGUGAAAUGCGCAGAUAUCGGGAGGAACACCUAUGGCGAAGGCGGCUCACUGGCCCGGUACUGACGCUGAGGUGCGAAAGCGUGGGGAGCAAACAGG
This 253-nucleotide ribosomal RNA is filed under the name uncultured bacterium. RNAcentral describes it as "partial 16S ribosomal RNA". It matches the Rfam family "Bacterial small subunit ribosomal RNA", at positions 524 to 776 of the family's 1533-position model. The record is from RNAcentral.